AUUCCAUGAUGAGGGCACUUUCGUAAGAACUCUUUGUAUCUUUUCCAUGCCUAAUACAAGGACUCAUUGUCCAUUUGUUGGAAGGUAGUGAUCUCGUUCCUCAACUU
Molecule: small nucleolar RNA, 107 nt
Filed under: Gossypium arboreum
Lineage: Eukaryota; Viridiplantae; Streptophyta; Magnoliopsida; Malvales; Malvaceae
Description: Plant small nucleolar RNA R71
Rfam family: Plant small nucleolar RNA R71
About the family: R71 is a member of the C/D box family of snoRNAs containing the C (UGAUGA) and D (CUGA) box motifs. Multiple nearly identical copies of this snoRNA have been identified in Arabidopsis, and it is thought to function as a 2'-O-ribose methylation guide for 18S ribosomal RNA.
Source: Rfam by way of RNAcentral